Molecule: ribosomal RNA, 253 nt
Filed under: uncultured bacterium
Lineage: Bacteria
Description: partial 16S ribosomal RNA
Rfam family: Bacterial small subunit ribosomal RNA
Source: RNAcentral
UACAGAGGGUGCGAGCGUUAAUCGGAAUUACUGGGCGUAAAGGGCUCGUAGGCGGCCAACUAAGUCCGACGUGAAAUCCCCAGGCUUAACCUGGGAACUGCGUCGGAUACUGGAUGGCUUGAAUUCGGGAGAGGGAUGCAGAAUUCCAGGUGUAGCGGUGAAAUGCGUAGAUAUCUGGAGGAAUACCGGUGGCGAAGGCGGCAUCCUGGACCGACAUUGACGCUGAUGAGCGAAAGCUAGGGGAGCAAACGGG